Molecule: unclassified non-coding RNA, 351 nt
Filed under: soil metagenome
Description: partial contains 5.8S ribosomal RNA, internal transcribed spacer 2, and large subunit ribosomal RNA
Rfam family: 5.8S ribosomal RNA (bases 1-119)
Source: RNAcentral
GAUGAAGAACGUAGCGAAAUGCGAUAAGUAAUGUGAAUUGCAGAAUUCAGUGAAUCAUCGAAUCUUGAACGCACAUUGCGCCCGCCAGUAUUCUGGCGGGCAUGCCUGUUCGAGCGUCAUUACAACCCUCAGGCCCCCGGGCCUGGCGUUGGGGAUCGGCGGAGCCCCCCGUGGGCACACGCCGUCCCCCAAAUGCAGUGGCGGUCCCGCCGCAGCUUCCAUCGCGUAGUAGCUAACACCUCGCGACUGGAGAGCGGCGCGGCCACGCCGUAAAACACCCAACUCUUCUGAAGUUGACCUCGAAUCAGGUAGGAAUACCCGCUGAACUUAAGCAUAUCAAUAAGCGGAGGA